GACGAACGCUGGCGGCGUGCUUAACACAUGCAAGUCGAGCGAUGAAGCUUCUUCGGAAGUGGAUUAGCGGCGGACGGGUGAGUAACACGUGGGUAACCUGCCUCAUAGAGGGGAAUAGCCUUCCGAAAGGAAGAUUAAUACCGCAUAAGAUUGUAAUAUCGCAUGAUAUAGCAAUUAAAGGAGCAAUCCGCUAUGAGAUGGACCCGCGUCGCAUUAGCUAGUUGGUGAGGUAACGGCUCACCAAGGCGACGAUGCGUAGCCGACCUGAGAGGGUGAUCGGCCACAUUGGGACUGAGACACGGCCCAGAAUCCUACGGGAGGCAGCAGUGGGGAAUAUUGCACAAUGGGGGAAACCCUGAUGCAGCAACGCCGCGUGAGUGAUGACGGUCUUCGGAUUGUAAGGCUCUGUCUUUAGGGACGAUAAUGACGGUACCUAAGGAGGAAGCCACGGCUAACUACGUGCCAGCAGCCGCCGUAA
This 478-nucleotide ribosomal RNA is filed under the name uncultured bacterium. Its description in RNAcentral is "partial 16S ribosomal RNA". It matches the Rfam family "Bacterial small subunit ribosomal RNA", at positions 28 to 523 of the family's 1533-position model. The record is from RNAcentral.